This 73-nucleotide transfer RNA is filed under the name Marmota monax (woodchuck). RNAcentral describes it as "tRNA.Ala". The record is from RNAcentral. Lineage: Eukaryota; Metazoa; Chordata; Mammalia; Rodentia; Sciuridae.
UGGGCUUGUGGCUCAGUGGUAGAGUGCUUGCCUAGCAUGUGUGAGGCACUGGGUCCAAUUCUCAGAACCCUAG